AGAGCGUAGGGUGAAUGCCUUGGCAUCAAGAGCCGAAGAAGGACGUGGUAAGCUGCGAAAAGCUGCGGGGAGUUGCAAACGAACUAUGAUCCGCAGAUAUCCGAAUGGGGAAACCCGGCGGUGGUAAUGCGCCGUCAACCAUAAUUGAAUACAUAGGUUAUGGUAGGGAACCCGGUGAACUGAAACAUCUAAGUAGCCGGAGGAAAGGAAAGAAACAUCGAUAUUCUGAGUAGCGGCGAGCGAAAGGGAUAGAGCCCAAACCGAAAGUCUUCGGACAUUCGGGGUUGAGGGCCAACGCAAGUGAUCUGAAGAAUCUAGCAGAAGACCGUUGGAAAGCGGCGCCAGAGACGGUAAAAGCCCGGUAAGCGAAAGAGGGAGCAGCACAGUUGGUACCAGAGUACCACCGGACACGAGUAACCCGGUGGGAAGCAGGGGGGCCCACCCCCCAAGGCUAAAUACUACUUGAUGACCGAUAGAGGAACAGUACCGUGAGGGAAAGGUGAAAAGGACCCCGGGAGGGGAGUGAAAGAGAACCUGAAACCCUAUGCUUACAAGCAGAUGGAGCACUAUUAGAGAGUGUGACAUUGUACUUUUUGUAGAACGGGCCAGCGAGUUACGUUAUAUAGCGAGGUUAAGGUGUUCAGCACCGGAGCCGCAGGGAAACCGAGUCUUAACCGGGCGCUAAGUUAUAUAAUGUAGACCCGAAACCGGGCGACCUACGCAUGAGCAGGUUGAAGUUGCGGUAAGACGCAAUGGAGGACCGAACCACACGCACGUUGAAAAGUGCGGGGAUGACUUGUGCGUAGCGGAGAAAUUCCAAUCGAGCUCGGAGAUAGCUGGUUCUCCUCGAAAUAGCUUUAGGGCUAGCCUCAUUAGAAGAUAUACGGAGGUAGAGCACUGAAUGGACUAGGGGGCCUCAAAGCCUACCGAAUCUUAUCAAACUCCGAAUGCCGUAUAUACAUAAAUGGGAGUCAGACAGUGGGAGAUAAGUUUCAUUGUCAAAAGGGAAACAGCCCAGAUCAUCAGCUAAGGCCCCAAAGUGUAGGUUAAGUGGAAAAGGAUGUGAGACUGCAUAGACAACUAGGAUGUUGGCUUAGAAGCAGCCACUCAUUUAAAGAGUGCGUAAUAGCUCACUAGUCGAGUGGUCUUGCGCCGAAAAUGUCCGGGGCUAAAACCUACCGCCGAAGCUAUGGGAUGAGAAAUCAUCGGUAGAGGAGCAUCGUAUACGGAUAGAAGCCAUACUGAGAAGAGUGGUGGACUGUAUAGGAGAGAGAAUGCUGGCAUAAGUAGCGAGACUGAGGUGAGAAUCCUCAGCAUCGAAAACCUAAGGUUUCCUGGGGAAGGCUCGUCCGCCCAGGGUAAGUCGGGACCUAAGCCGAGGACUAGAUGGUCGUAGGCGAUGGACAACAGGUAGAGAUUCCUGUACCACCUUUAGUGCAUGAAGGAUGCAGUGACACAGGAGGAUAGAUCGAGCAGGCUGAUGGUAGAGCCUGUGCAAGCGUCAAGGGAGUUAGAGUAGUGAAGUACGCUUUAACAAUUCAGAGGCGUGAUGCGGACAGAAAACAAGUAUGGAAGCGAUCGAAUCCACACUGGCGAGAAAAGCUGCUACUAAGCGAAGAGGUGCCCGUACCGCAAACCGACACAGGUAGGUGAGGAGAGAAUCCUAAGAUGAGCGGGAUAACCCUUGUUAAGGAACUCGGCAAAAUGACUCCGUAACUUAGGGAAAAGGAGUGCCUCGAAAGAGGUCGCAGAGAAUAGGCCCAAGCGACUGUUUACCAAAAACAUAGGUCUGUGCAAAAUCGAGAGAUGAAGUAUACGGGCUGACGCCUGCCCAGUGCCGGAAGGUUAAGGGGAACUGUUAGCGCAAGCGAAGCAGGGAACUUAAGCCCCGGUGAACGGCGGCCGUAACUAUAACGGUCCUAAGGUAGCGAAAUUCCUUGUCAGGUAAGUUCUGACCCGCACGAAUGGCGUAACGAUUUGGGCGCUGUCUCAACAGCCCACCCGGCGAAAUUGUAGUACUGGUGAAGAUGCCAGUUACCCGCAACUAGACGGAAAGACCCCAUGGAGCUUUACUGUAGCUUAAUACUGAGGAUUGGUAAAUCAUGUACAGGAUAGGUGGGAGACUUGGAAGUUUGGGCGUCAGCUCAGAUGGAGUCACCCUUGGGAUACCA
Molecule: ribosomal RNA, 2171 nt
Filed under: metagenome
Description: bacterial LSU rRNA
Rfam family: Bacterial large subunit ribosomal RNA
Source: RNAcentral